Molecule: long non-coding RNA, 1885 nt
Organism: Artibeus jamaicensis (Jamaican fruit-eating bat)
Lineage: Eukaryota; Metazoa; Chordata; Mammalia; Chiroptera; Phyllostomidae
Exons: 6
Source: RefSeq, a predicted model, not a curated record
GUCUCUGGAUACAGUUCUCUCCCAGUGCGAGGCUGGCGACUUGGCUCUGCUACACUCUGUGUGGCGGCCCCUCCUCUGGGGCAGAAGGGAAAGAAAAUCCAGAUAAUCGUGGAUAAUCUGCAUCAUAUUCUAUUAUCAUGUUGCCAUAUUCAUUGGCAACUCUGCAAUGAGCGUCCAUGCACGUAAAUAUUCACUCACUUGCCUGACGAUUUGCUCCGGGCAGUUCUCAGACGUCGGACUCUCCAAGCUGGUCUUCGGGGACACCCAGCCCACCGCCCUCCAGAAGGAGCGCACCAGCUUUCCUCCUGAGAGCGUUCCAGGGUGAUGUGUGCUGACAGUAAAACCAGAGGAAAGUCCUGAGUUCAAAGGGGCAGUCUGGGAUAUGACCCUCGACAUUAAGAAGCCACAUGCAGAGGUCCGAGCUGCGUGGGAGGAAGGAACGUCUUCAACACUGAAGGUCAAAGGCACAGUCCGCUAGGAGCAGGCUGAACACGGGGGACCUUUGGCGAAUAAAUGAACUGUAUCUGGACCAUUAUUCAAAUAACGUAAGGAGAGCUGUGUUUGCCCAUGGCCUUGAGAAAUUCCGCUGCAACCCGCGCAGGCAGAGAACAGGCAAGUAAACCCAGCCAGUCACAGCCCCGACGGCAGAACCCUGGAUUUCCUCCCGGUCGCUCAGCCACAGCGCGGCCCCGAAACAGGCAGUCCUGGGACAGACCCACCUGGGACCCGGCUCCACGCCGAGGAGGCAGGUACAGAAUGCUUCCGAAAGUGUUACCUGGAAACAAGCAGGCAUCUUUGCAGGAGGGUGAAUUCUGGAUCCAGCAAGAGGCUCUUUACGUCACUGCAGACGGGAACCCAGACAAGGCAAGAAGGGCAUUUUCAGUGAACAGUAACGCGGGGAGAUGAGUCAAUAUGCUCAGAAACGGACAACUCCGCUCGAAGGGCGUGGAGUUGAACUCACGGGACACGUCCCUCUGCCGUGCCCCUGACCCUACAGAAGCUCCUACAGCCCCGGUUGGAGAAGCCACCCCGGGGCUGCAAGGCUCCGGCUGUGGCCGACGUUCUCACCACACUCCGACUCAGACUCUCGAAAAUACGAACAGCUGCCUAACUAACCACAGGAACGAGAAUGUCACUGCUGAUGAAAUGACUUUGCUAAUCAGCAGGAACAGUAACUCCUUAAAGAAGCUGCAUUCAGAAUUUACUCUUGAAGUUACUCCUGAAAUAAAAUAUUUAAGGAAGAAAGGCUGUGUUUUUAUAUACUGAUAUUUCUAAAAUAGUCAAAUAGAGAAUAUUCGUAAAUUAGGGGGAGGGGGAAGGACAGAUAUUCUUUAAAUGUAUUCUUUUUUAUUGAAACACAAAUGUUAACCUUUAUAUAGAGAAAACAAUCAAGUAAUUAUUUUGAAUCUGACAUCAACAAAGCAUUCUACUAUGGAUAACGUAUGAAGUAUCAUAAUCACAUGUAAAACAAAACUCUGUCAUGUUUCACUCAGAACCCCUUUGCGAUGCCUUUCCUAACGUAUACUUCUAAGUGCUCCUGGCUCAGGUGGCAUAUUGACCUCCUUGCCAGAGCUGUGCAGGCCCUGUGUGGAGUGCCCACUUCGGAGGCAGGAGGCUGGCAGAAGGGACCGCCUGUGUGUGUCCUCACGCAGGCGCGCAGGGGAUUCAUGGUGGGGGCAGGCUGAGCUGGGAGGAUGCUCGCUCCCCAGCGCUGCUCCAGCCCAGACAGGAGGCCAGAGCCAUCGGACACUCAGGCACUUGCUGGAGACAGAGGCUCCGUCAGUGGGACUAUGAAGUAACCACACACAGAUUCCCCAGGGACGCAAGCCUCUGUGGCCCUCUCCUUGGGCCACAGAUGUUUUCUAAAACACAACUUAUUUUCAUC